This 468-nucleotide ribosomal RNA is filed under the name uncultured bacterium. RNAcentral describes it as "partial 16S ribosomal RNA". It matches the Rfam family "Bacterial small subunit ribosomal RNA", at positions 28 to 507 of the family's 1533-position model. The record is from RNAcentral.
GACGAACGCUGGCGGCGUGCUUAACACAUGCAAGUCGAACGGAAAGGCCCUGCUUUUGUGGGGUGCUCGAGUGGCGAACGGGUGAGUAACACGUGAGUAACCUGCCCUUGACUUUGGGAUAACUUCAGGAAACUGGGGCUAAUACCGGAUAGGAGCUCCUGCUGCAUGGUGGGGGUUGGAAAGUUUCGGCGGUUGGGGGUGGACUCGCGGCUUAUCAGCUUGUUGGUGGGGUAGUGGCUUACCAAGGCUUUGACGGGUAGCCGGCCUGAGAGGGUGACCGGCCACAAUAGGACUGAGAGACGGCCCAGACGCCUACGGGAGGCAGCAGUGGGGAAUAUUGCACAAUGGGCGGAAGCCUGAUGCAGCGGCGCCGCGUGCGGGAAGACGGCCUUCGGGUUGUAAACCGCUUUCGCCUGUGACGAAGCGUGAGUGACGGUAAUGGGUAAAGAAGCACCGGCUAACUACGUG